AACGAACGCUGGCGGCAUGCCUAACACAUGCAAGUCGAACGAGACCUUCGGGUCUAGUGGCGCACGGGUGCGUAACGCGUGGGAACCUGCCCUUAGGUUCGGAAUAACUCCCCGAAAGGGGUGCUAAUACCGGAUAAUGUCUUCGGACCAAAGAUUUAUCGCCUUUGGAUGGGCCCGCGUUGGAUUAGCUAGUUGGUAGGGUAAAAGCCUACCAAGGCGACGAUCCAUAGCUGGUCUGAGAGGAUGAUCAGCCACACUGGGACUGAGACACGGCCCAGACUCCUACGGGAGGCAGCAGUGGGGAAUAUUGGACAAUGGGCGAAAGCAUGAUCCAGCAAUGCCGCGUGAGUGAUGAAGGCCUUAGAGUUGUAAAGCUCUUUUACCCGGGAUGAUAAUGACAGUACCGGGAGAAUAAGCUCCGGCUAACUCCGUG
This 433-nucleotide ribosomal RNA is filed under the name uncultured bacterium. RNAcentral's name for it is "partial 16S ribosomal RNA". It matches the Rfam family "Bacterial small subunit ribosomal RNA", at positions 29 to 507 of the family's 1533-position model. The record is from RNAcentral.